AGAGUUUGAUCAUGGCUCAGAUUGAACGCUGGCGGCAGGCUUAACACAUGCAAGUCGAGCGGGGAAAGGUAGCUUGCUACUGGACCUAGCGGCGGACGGGUGAGUAAUGCUUAGGAAUCUGCCUAUUAGUGGGGGACAACAUUCCGAAAGGAAUGCUAAUACCGCAUACGCCCUACGAGGGAAAGCAGGGGAUCUUCGGACCUUGCGCUAAUAGAUGAGCCUAAGUCGGAUUAGCUAGUUGGUGGGGUAAAGGCCUACCAAGGCGACGAUCUGUAGCGGGUCUGAGAGUAUGAUCCGCCACACUGGGACUGAGACACGGCCCAGACUCCUACGGGAGGCAGCAGUGGGGAAUAUUGGACAAUGGGCGGAAGCCUGAUCCAGCCAUGCCGCGUGUGUGAAGAAGGCCUUUUGGUUGUAAAGCACUUUAAGCGAGGAGGAGGCUCCUUUAGUUAAUACCUAAAGUGAGUGGACGUUACUCGCAGAAUAAGUACCGGCUAACUCUGUGCCAGCAGCCGCGGUAAUACAGAGGGUGCGAGCGUUAAUCGGAUUUACUGGGCGUAAAGCGUGCGUAGGCGGCUUUUUAAGUCGGAUGUGAAAUCCCUGAGCUUAACUUAGGAAUUGCAUUCGAUACUGGAAAGCUAGAGUAUGGGAGAGGAUGGUAGAAUUCCAGGUGUAGCGGUGAAAUGCGUAGAGAUCUGGAGGAAUACCGAUGGCGAAGGCAGCCAUCUGGCCUAAUACUGACGCUGAGGUACGAAAGCAUGGGGAGCAAACAGGAUUAGAUACCCUGGUAGUCC
Molecule: ribosomal RNA, 794 nt
Filed under: uncultured bacterium
Lineage: Bacteria
Description: bacterial SSU rRNA
Rfam family: Bacterial small subunit ribosomal RNA
Source: RNAcentral